This 497-nucleotide ribosomal RNA is filed under the name uncultured bacterium. RNAcentral describes it as "partial 16S ribosomal RNA". It matches the Rfam family "Bacterial small subunit ribosomal RNA", at positions 28 to 507 of the family's 1533-position model. The record is from RNAcentral.
GACGAACGCUGGCGGCGUGCCUAAUACAUGCCAGUUGAGCGCUGAAGGUUGGUACUUGUACCAACUGGAUGAGCAGCGAACGGGUGAGUAACGCGUGGGGAAUCUGCCUUUGAGCGGGGGACAACAUUUGGAAACGAAUGCUAAUACCGCAUAAAAACUUUAAACACAAGUUUUAAGUUUGAAAGAUGCAAUUGCAUCACUCAAAGAUGAUCCCGCGUUGUAUUAGCUAGUUGGUGAGGUAAAGGCUCACCAAGGCGAUGAUACAUAGCCGACCUGAGAGGGUGAUCGGCCACAUUGGGACUGAGACACGGCCCAAACUCCUACGGGAGGCAGCAGUAGGGAAUCUUCGGCAAUGGACGAAAGUCUGACCGAGCAACGCCGCGGGAGUGAAGAAGGGUGUCGGAUCGUAAAACUCUGUUGGUAGAGAAGAACGUUGGUGAGAGUGGAAAGCUCAUCAAGUGACGGUAACUACCCAGAAAGGGACGGCUAACUACGUG